CCCGGUGGGACCCCCGGGUGACACCCCCGGCCCCUCGCCGCCGCUCCCUCCCUCACCGGUGACACCCCCGGCCCCUCGCCCGCCGCUGCCUCCCUCACGGGUGGCACCCCCGGCCCCUCGCCCGCCGCUCCCUCCCUCACCGGUGACACCCCCGCUUGGAGUGGGGGUCGAUCCCCCGGGAUGUGAGGGCACCCCCGGGUGACACCCCCGAUCCGUUCCGCGGCGGGUGAGGGGACCUGUCACAGCCCUGGUCCCGCCACCAACGCUAAGGCCGCUCUGGUGACACCCCGGCCCCACGGGGUGUGAGGGGACCCCCGCGUCCCCAGCCCUGACCCCUGCCCAGGGUGGGGGUCCGUUCCUCCGCCUGUCACCUCGUGGGGCUUUGAGGGGUUGAGGUUUUUGGUGAGCUGUCACUCCUGUCCUCCAUCCCCUGAGCAGUCCCGGGUGUUCCUUGUCACCUGUGGAGGGAAGUGUGAGGUGACAGGAGUUCCGCAGGGUCACAGCUUCGGUGGUUGGUGAUGGAGCGGGUCCCUCUCCAGGGAGAUAAAUAUGGCAAUGACACAGGUUUUGAGUGGCACAGCUCGAGGGGUGCCAAGCAAAGGAUGCACAGCUCCUGGGAAGUCUGAGCAAGCACCUCUUCCCCAUCACCCACGGACAGAAACACGGUUGUGACUCGUGGAGCUCAUGUCUUGGCUGCUCACAAGUGUGAUAAAUGUGUGUUUUAUCAAGUGAGCUCUGGCUUGAAAGCCUUGAUUUUUGUUCCUCAUCAGGACAGAGUGUUGAUGAGCUUCUCGACUGCAGCGUGGCAUUUCUCUCCAAACAAAGCCAUUUUUGCUAUAACUGUGGAAACUGAACAAUGUUUUGCCUGAAGCUGGUGCAAAUCUGUCUUCCCAUGAUGGGCCAGCACCACGCUUCUCUAUUUUCCCUUCAUUUUUCAGUGUAGACAAGGCACAACUGUUUCUCUGCCUUUUUCCUUCUAAUUGAAAAAUAUCCUGAUGGUUUCUGAUAGUUGCCAACAUGUGUUAUUUUUAGCCUGAACUUUUACAGUCACUCAGUUAUCUAUGAAGUAUUGGUAAUAUAAAAUUCAUCCAUCAUGGCUGAAAUAAAUUCACUGUAUUCUUAUCUAGCCUGUGGUCUCCUUUGAAAUGCAGAAAUGGAGCUCCAGUAGGGAUCAGGUUGCUGUUGAAUGUGACUGGGUGCAUUUUGGUGUGUUAUCCUCAGUUUCCUGUAGUCUGGUAAGUUUGUAUUUUACCUUCUGCAGUACGCUCUGCAUUUCCAUUUUUUUUUUUUUUUUGGAAGCAUCCAGUUUAACUUUGCUUGCUAAGUCAUUCAGAUGCUGAGAAAAUGGAAGAGUUGAGUGCUGCCUACCUACUUCGACAACAAAAACUGGGGGGAGCAAUGGGUUAUGGAUGUGAGCAGCUGUCAUUUUGACCACUGAGGUACACAAUGAGUUAUAUGAAGUCUUAAAACAAAAAAACCUCCACAGCCAAACAAAUCCAACUCUAUGCAUCUGAAAUAAGUCUCUCCAACUCUCACUUUCUUUAUUUGCCCUUAGACUGACAUUGUUGUCAAGCUCUAAUGGAGGAGGGGAAAUCUAACAGCUUUAAAAUCACACACUGCUGUCUGCUGUGUGACCUUUUUCCAGUUGAUGGUUCAAUUUAUUUAGGUGAUAAAGAAAACACUGAGGCAUGUGAAGUCUAUCUUCUUGACAGAUCUGAGCUUACUGAAACUUUUUCCUCAUCCUUUUCUCCUUCCUCACAUUCACAGUCAGUCUUUUGUUUUUAUAAAGCGAUCCAUAUAUUUUUCUUUUAGAUUUAAAUGCUUUCUAAUCUUUUCAAGGUUUACAGAACUGCACCUGGCUGCUGAGGGUGUGGAGAGGCAGAUGGACUGAUGGUUGUGGUGAUGUCCUGAGAGAGAUGUUUGCCUUUUGUGCUGAGUGGUGCAUGGUGUAUGUAAAAAGCUUGGCGUGUCAAAUGUGAGGGCUUGGUCAGGUCUAUUAUGUUAUUUUUCUAAAUAUCAUUAAAUGGUGAAAGGAGAAAUAUCCAGUAUUGGUGAGCCACUGUAGCUGAUUGACCUCAUCCAGUGGGUGGGCAUCCCUGCCCAUGGCAAGAGGUUGGGAAUAGAUGAUCUUUAAGGUCAUGCCUUGACACAGAUUUCUGGUAGAACUUAAUGAGAAUUUUCCCCAAAA
This is a long non-coding RNA of Taeniopygia guttata (zebra finch), 2188 nucleotides long. RefSeq lists it as uncharacterized. The record is from RefSeq and is a predicted model, not a curated record. NCBI's taxonomy places the organism in Eukaryota, Metazoa, Chordata, Aves, Passeriformes, Estrildidae.